RNAcentral lists this small RNA (487 nucleotides) under Pan troglodytes (chimpanzee). RNAcentral's name for it is "processed transcript". Lineage: Eukaryota; Metazoa; Chordata; Mammalia; Primates; Hominidae. The record is from RNAcentral.
CCACCCCUUCCAACAGACACUCACUGGGAAGUGCGACCGGCCCGGCGCACCUGCGUGCGAGCAAGAGCCGUCUUAGGCCUCGGCACGAUCGUUGGCAGCUCCAUGUUGGCUGCUCUGAGCCAGAUUUUCGAGAAGACAGGACAGGUGACGUUGCAGAGACGCCUGCCCAACGCCAGCAGAUGCACCUGCUGCUCAGUGGUUGAGGUUCUUGAGCUCGGCUUUGGAUCUUUCUUAGGAAUUAUUGGCAUCAACUUGGUGGAGAAUAGAAGGCAAAUGCUGGUGGCAGCGAUUGUGUUUAUCAGUUUUGGCGUGGUGGCCGCCUUCUGCUGUGCCAUCGUGGACGGCGUAUUUGCAGCACAGCACAUUGAACCGAGGCCCCUCACCACGGGAAGAUGCCAGUUUUACUCCAGUGGGGUGGGGUACUUGUACGACGUCUACCAGACAGAGGUGAGUGAGAUGCGGGGAGUAAUGACCCGCGGGCGGCCGC